AUUGAACGCUGGCGGCAGGCCUAACACAUGCAAGUCGAGCGGAUGAAGGGAGCUUGCUCCUGGAUUCAGCGGCGGACGGGUGAGUAAUGCCCAGGAAUCUGCCUGGUAGUGGGGGAUAACGUCCGGAAACGGGCGCUAAUACCGCAUACGUCCUGAGGGAGAAAGUGGGGGAUCUUCGGACCUCACGCUAUCAGAUGAGCCUAGGUCGGAUUAGCUAGUUGGUGGGGUAAAGGCCUACCAAGGCGACGAUCCGUAACUGGUCUGAGAGGAUGAUCAGUCACACUGGAACUGAGACACGGUCCAGACUCCUACGGGAGGCAGCAGUGGGGAAUAUUGGACAAUGGGCGAAAGCCUGAUCCAGCCAUGCCGCAUGUGUGAAGAAGGUCUUCGGAUUGUAAAGCACUUUAAGUUGGGAGGAAGGGCAGUAAGUUAAUACCUUGCUGUUUUGACGUUACCAACAGAAUAAGCACCGGCUAACUUCGUG
RNAcentral lists this ribosomal RNA (484 nucleotides) under uncultured bacterium. Its description in RNAcentral is "partial 16S ribosomal RNA". It matches the Rfam family "Bacterial small subunit ribosomal RNA", at positions 30 to 507 of the family's 1533-position model. The record is from RNAcentral.